AUUGAACGCUGGCGGCAGGCCUAACACAUGCAAGUCGAAUGGUAACAGGAAACAGCUUGCUGUUUCGCUGACGAGUGGCGGACGGGUGAGUAAUGUCUGGGAAACUGCCUGAUGGAGGGGGAUAACUACUGGAAACGGUAGCUAAUACCGCAUAACGUCGCAAGACCAAAGAGGGGGACCUUCGGGCCUCUUGCCAUCAGAUGUGCCCAGAUGGGAUUAGCUAGUAGGUGGGGUAACGGCUCACCUAGGCGACGAUCCCUAGCUGGUCUGAGAGGAUGGCCAGCCACACUGGAACUGAGACACGGCCCAGACUCCUACGGGAGGCAGCAGUGGGGAAUAUUGCACAAUGGGCGCAAGCCUGAUGCAGCCAUGCCGCGUGUAUGAAGAAGGCCUUCGGGUUGUAAAGUACUUUCAGCGGGGAGGAAGGGAGUAAAGUUAAUACCUUUGCUCAUUGACGUUACCCGCAGAAGAAGCACCGGCUAACUCCGUG
Molecule: ribosomal RNA, 490 nt
Filed under: uncultured bacterium
Lineage: Bacteria
Description: partial 16S ribosomal RNA
Rfam family: Bacterial small subunit ribosomal RNA
Source: RNAcentral